Long non-coding RNA from Mugil cephalus (flathead mullet), 4425 nucleotides. RefSeq lists it as uncharacterized. Lineage: Eukaryota; Metazoa; Chordata; Actinopteri; Mugiliformes; Mugilidae. The record is from RefSeq and is a predicted model, not a curated record. The transcript is spliced from 2 exons.
UGAGAUCGCGCUGCCGCUGUUAGCUGUCGCAUACCAACCACACAAAUUUGAGGCUUACAAGCUUCCAAACAUGAGUGCUCGAGAGUGGGCAGAGAAGAGGAAAAAGUUUUCGGAGGUGAGGGAGAAGUUGCACUCUCUGGAUGUAAGAUUUACUUUGGCCACUGGCACAAAUGCGCUUCACCUGGAAAGGAAAGAGGAUGAGAUUUAUUUAUAGAAUAGAUAGAAUAGAAUAAAUAUGCCAAAUGGAUGACGGACUAUUCGCAGGCUGCCCGAUGACCGAUCCUUUUUUUUUUUUUUUUUUUUUUUACACCUGAGGCAUAAGAAAAGGAUGUAUUAAAACAUGAAAGACCAUUAUCAAUGGGGGAGGGAAUUGUUGUUAUUUCAUAAAUGCUGUAUUGGUCAUUGGGGGCAAAUCUCUCCCCUCUUUCUUUUAUUUAUUCAUUUAUCUAUAUCCUAUAUAUGGCCAGAGAAAUAUAUUCUCUCUCUCUGAGGUACCAGGGUUAAGUAGAACCCAAAGUGUGGUCUCUGGUAAAGAGUGAUGCUGUAUGUAUAUACACAUGUAUAUUUUCGUUUUGUUUAUCCUAUGCCACAUGUUGCAAAGCACUGGUAAUAAGGAUAGUAGUUUUGAAUAACGGGGUGAGGGGUUGGUAGGGUUUCUUUGGGCAGGUCAUUACACACGACUCACGGACCAGUUGGGGUAGAAUUUUUUUUUCUUUCUUUUUUUAAUGUCUCUUUGGGAGAGCAAGGGGUUAGGAGUUAAGGUGUUUGCAUGAUGCUUUUUUGGUUUGCUUGGUUCUGUCAUAUGUGUUAAAUAUGGGGCACAACCCAUAUCUUUGUUCUAUUUUUGUUUGGUGAGGAUGGCAGUUGGACAACAACCUAAAUGGUCAGUAUUAAGUGAUGCGAUUGUUUGUGUAAUGUGUAGAUUGUGUAGACAUGUUGGAGUACAAAGGGGCUUAAGCUAUGGUUAAUCUGGUACGGUAUAUUAACUGGAAUAUAAAUUAAUCACAUAACCUCGCUAAAAGGAAAAAAUGCCUGUCAUAUCUUCGGUCUCAACAAGCGGACGUGGCCCUGCUACAGGAGACACAUCUGGUGGAUACAGAAAUAAAUAAAUUUAGGACAAGGUCUUUGGGACAGGUAUAUUAUAGCUUUUUUAAUGGCAAGAAAGGUGGGGUUGCAAUACUUGUACAUAAAAUUUUAAAUUUUGUCAUGUUGAAACAACAUAAGGACAAUGAAGGGAGGAUAAUAUGGGUCAAGGCUAAAAUAAAUGGUGUGAAGAUUAAUAUAUGUAAUAUAUAUGCCCCAAAUAAGGAAGAGCCGGACUUUUUUUAUAUGGUUAAUAAAAUGAUGGGGGAAAUAGACGAUGGUCACACUGUAAUUUCUGGUGAUUAUAACCAGGUACAAGAAAUAGUGUGCUGAGAGAUAGAAGAGCUAUAUAAUGAUUUGGGCUUGGUUGAUACUUGGAGGUUAGUACACCCCAGAGAUGGAGAAUACACGUUUUAUUCAAAUAUACAUAAAAAUCACAGUCGCUUAGAUUAUUUUCUGGUAUCCAAAGACCUAGUAGAAGGAAUGGUAGACUGUACAAUUGGGCCUAUUGCAUUAACGGACCAUGCUACUGUGCAGUGGGGGGUAAAAUUAGUAAGUUUAAUAGAUGGAGGAGGAAUGUGUCAUUGCUUCAGGAUGAAACCUUUGCCAGUGUAUUAGGGGAAGAUCUUAGAAUAUUUUUUGACAUUAAUAUAGAUUCAACUGAGAGAUUAGGUUCAGUGUGGGAGGCUUCCAAGGCAUUGGAAGAGGCAAAAUAAUAGCUCAUUUGAGUAAGAAGAAAAAAGACAGUAAAAAACAAAUGUUGGGAUUAGAAUCCCAGUUGAAGGAUGCAAAAAAAGAACUGGUGUGUAAUCAUAGUGAUGACCCGUCUGAGAAAAGUAUGUGAAUUAAAAUUCCAGUUAAACGAAUUAUACAAUAAAAAUGUAGAAUAUGCUAUGUUUAGAAUGAAAAGUAACUUCUACGAAAGUGGGGAAAAGGCCAAUAAACUAUUGGCUAGAAAUUUAAAAAACAAGAUGCUAGCUUUAUAAUACCAGCGAUUAAAAAUACAAACGGGGAACUGGUAACAGGUGCAAAGGACAUCAAUGAAGUGUUUAACAACUUUUAUGUAAAGCUUUAUGAAUCAGAAGUAGAUCCAUCAGAAGAACAAUUUGAAGCCUUCUUCGCUAAUAAAUAUCCCAAAACUGUCAGAAGGGCAAGUAGCACAGAUGGAGGGAGUUAUUACUGAAGGAGAAGUUAGAAAUGCACUAUCAUCACUUAAAAUAGGAAAGUCACCAGGGCUAGAUGGGCUGCCAGUAGAGUAUUAUAAGAACGUGAGCACGUGAGCAAGCCGUGAUGCAGACACGCCCACCACAGCGUUCUCGCUGGACGGAGAAAAAACAUAUGACAGAGUGGAACUGGCUUACCCUUUUUAUACUUUGAGGGUGUUUAGAUUUGGAGAGGGUUUCACAAAAUAAAUAUAGAUUAUUUACCUGUCCCCUAAAGCAUCUGUUUUAACUAAUGGUCUGAAAUCUCCUUUUUUUGGUCUCCCGAGGGGCUAGAAACAGGGGGACCCAUUAAGUCUGCUACUCUUUACCAUAUUUCUAGAACCAUUAGCUAUAGUUCUAAGAGCAGAUACAGGCAUUAAAGGGGUGUGGGAUAGUGGGACGGAACAUAAGCUGUUUUUAUAUGUGGAUGAUGUUUUGCUGCUUAUUUCAGACCCAGCAAGUUCUGUUCUCAUAAUCCUUAAUAAGAUCGAAACAUUCUCUCGAAUAUCUGGAUAUAAAAUUAACUGGCAGUAAUCUGAGGUGAUGCCUAUAUCUGGGUUUUGCUAUCAGUCAGAGAUCUCUAACUUUCAAUUUAGAUGGGUCCUGGUAGGAAUGAAAUAGCUAGGAAUAAAGUUAACUGCUGAUUUGUCUCAUAAAAUAGAAAUGAAUCUAAUGCCAGUACUUCAAAAGAUGAAAAGUAAUUUGGAAAGAUGGAAGAUAAUUAAUCUCCCUUUGUGGGGCAAAAUUAAUACUAUUAAGAUGGUGAUAGCACCACAAUUAACUAUAUAUCAAUGAUGCUUCCAGUAAUCAUUCCUAGUGGCAUAUACAAACAAUAUAAUCAAAUGGUUAAAGACUAUUUGUGGAAUGGAAAAAAGCCUAGGAUUAAUAUUAAAAAGUUAUGUACUGCUAGGGAAAAGGGGGGCUUGGCCCUUCCAAAUGCAGAGGUACAGUAUAUAAUUUGGCUUUUGAAUUUGCUAAACUGGUGAGGGAUUGGAUGAAUUAUGAUUCUCAACCGGAUUGGGUUAAGAUAGAAAUGGCCAUGGUGGCUCCCUCCAGACCAAUACAGGCUCUCUCUCUCAGAUUAAGGUGGUAGAGGGGGGAAAAAUCCCAUACUGAAGCAUUCUCAAUGGGUCUUAUCGGAGGUGCAUAGGUUGAUAUAGGGAAGUCACAAUACAAACAAGGGUAUUCUUCCAUAUGGAAUAAUCCAUGUAUCGUGAUAGGUAAACAAUCAGUUUGCUGGGAUCCUUGGCAGAGGAACAGUACAUGUGUGAUUGAUGAUCUGUAUAAGGGUGCAGUUUUUAAGUCAUAUCAGGAACUGGUGGAUCAAUUUCUCCUGGAGGGAAGGGGUAAAUUUUGGAAAUAUCUACAACUAUGUAACUAGUAUGUGGAGUGUGAUUCCACUUAACAGAAAUAUAGAAGAACCUAACAUGUUACAAAAUCUUUUUGAUUUGCCAAGUGUGUGCAAUGCAUAGUGCCUCAAUAUUUUACAAAAAUAUUGUGGAACUACAAAGUGUGAACACUGAGAAUCUUAGGUCAAUAAGGCAAAGAUAUUUAGAAUGUGAAAUAAAUAAGGAGAAAUGGUAUAAUAUAGUUUCCAAGGUUGGGUGGGCCACUAGGGACAUUAGAAGCAAAUUUACCCAUUACAAAAAUCAUACAUAGACAUUAAUAUACUCCUAUGAAGCUUUUCAGAAUGGGUUUAGUAGAAGACAAAAUGUGUUGUAAAUGUAAGGGAGAAGAUGAUACAUUUUUACAUGCCUUUUGGGAAUGUCCAGUGGUAUUACCUUUUUGGAAAAAUAUAUUAAGGAAACUGGGAGAUUGGUUGGGACAAAGUUUACUGAAAUCUCCACUGUUUUGUCUUCUGGGAGAUAGCACACUUUUGCCACAAGGAGUCAACAAAGGACAGUAUGCGCUAAUAAUCAGAGGCCUCAUUACGGCAACAAGGCUGAUAUUGAGGAAUUGGAAGAGCGCGUGUACGCCAGGGAUUGCAGAUUGGACUCAACUGAUGACAGAGACUGCAUACUUCGAAUAUCUGAUUGCCAGGAAGGACAAUGUUAAAGGGAAGUUUCAUUUAGUAUGGGCCUUUUUUUUUUUUUUUUUUUUUUUUCGAUAUAAUAGGGACUUGUCACACUAAGUAUAUGUU